RNAcentral lists this unclassified non-coding RNA (200 nucleotides) under Lactarius sp. (in: basidiomycete fungi). RNAcentral's name for it is "Lactarius sp. (in: Russulaceae) partial internal transcribed spacer 2". The record is from RNAcentral. Lineage: Eukaryota; Fungi; Basidiomycota; Agaricomycetes; Russulales; Russulaceae.
CUAAGUUCAGCGGGUAGUCUCACCCGAUUUGAGGUCAAGGGUUCGUGGGCUUGAGGGUGUUUCCCGAGAAGGGAGACACGCCCAAACAUUGUCUCGGGUUGAGACGGUUAGAAGCGGGUCCCAAAAGCAACAGAGCCAGAAACCAAGACAUGGAAACAUCUUAUCACACGUCGAGGAUCGGCAAAGAGGACCCCGCUAAU